UGCCAGCCGCCGCGGUAAUACGAAGGGUGCAAGCGUUGUUCGGAUUUACUGGGCGUAAAGCGCGCGCAGGCGGAUUAAUAAGUCAGAUGUGAAAUCUCGGGGCUCAACCCCGAAACUGCGUCUGAAACUGUUGAUCUAGAGUUAUGGAGGGGAGAAGGGAAUUUCGCAUGUAGGGGUAAAAUCCGUAGAGAUGCGAAGGAACACCAGAGCCGAAGGGGCUUCUCUGGCCAUACACUGACGCUGAGGCGCGAAAGCGUGGGUAGCAAACAGGAUUAGAUA
RNAcentral lists this ribosomal RNA (279 nucleotides) under uncultured bacterium. Its description in RNAcentral is "partial 16S ribosomal RNA". It matches the Rfam family "Bacterial small subunit ribosomal RNA", at positions 506 to 784 of the family's 1533-position model. The record is from RNAcentral.